This 3161-nucleotide long non-coding RNA is filed under the name Salvia miltiorrhiza (redroot sage). RNAcentral's name for it is "long non-coding RNA (SMIL_LNC007049)". Lineage: Eukaryota; Viridiplantae; Streptophyta; Magnoliopsida; Lamiales; Lamiaceae. The record is from RNAcentral.
UUGGGGUUUGUGAUUGACAUUUAUUUUAUUGCUCUGGAAGUAGAUACUAAAUUACCUCAAUGUUCCAUUUCCAUUAUAGACUUUCUUCGAUUAUACUAUAGGUUUUAGGUGAGGAAGUAUUAGUUUUGUAUGGAAGCAAGGUUGAUGUUUCAAUUUUAUGAUCUAUUGGAUAUGUUUUCUGGGGACCAUUAUCAUUUAUGUUGGUAUUAGUAGUUUGGAUUCUCUUAAUAAUUAUAGAUAUGUGCUCCCUGUUCUAGUAUUUUGAUUUGGUCUCCCUUUUCACUUGUGGUCAAGAUAUUUAUCACUUGGUCAUUGCAAGUUUGGCAUAUCUGCUACUUUUAUUCUUCUUUAAUGUUCUUUUCAAAAAUCAAUUCUAUCAUUUACUUCCUUAUAUACCUGGGCCAUGUUCGUGGUGACUUUUGAUAGAACACAUGCAUUGUAGUUUUGUUGUAGUGUAAGAGAAACUUUAACACUCAGUUAAAUUGUGUUGAGUGUUAAACGAAGUAAAAGUAGCUCUCCAACUGUUUGCUAAAUAUAUGCACGAAGCAACAUAAAAGAAUCCAAAUUUUAUAGACCAAAUAUCUGCUUACACUGCAACUGGCAAAGGUAUUUCUUUCUUUCUCUGAUUUUCUUAGAAAACUUUGUAUUGAAAUGCAAUUAUUAUUUUAAGUUUAAGUUCAUAAGGGAACUAUCCUAUGUUCUGUCUUAGUUGAGGGCUUGCAGCUGCUGUCUUUGGCAUGUUAUUUCUCUUUCUUUCUUGUUAGACUUCUAAAGUGGCUUUAAUUUGCUAAAUUUAGUUUGUUAAUUUCAUUGAUGACUGAUCAUGACUGUAGGGCUGCUUACAAGGGAUUUCCUGAUUGCUAUUUGCCUUCUGCUAUAUCUGAAUGCUCAUAGAACGCGACAAGAUAAAGAAGGUUAGUUGGAAUGCUCCACGCUACAUGUAUAAUCGUGUUUCAUAUUUGUUUUUACUGUGUCAAAAAUGUGUCCAGUUAGCUACUUCAGUAAGCAUCUGAUGUCGUUUUUUUUUUUUUUCUAGGUUGUACCCCGCUGCACUGGGCUGCCAGUAAGGGUAAGUUAUAAGCAUGCAAUCUCCUGGUGAUGGCAAGGAAGAAAAAAGAUUUGAUGGUAACAGAAUGUACCGGCUGUACACCUGCACAACUUGCUAACUUCUAUUUCCCUGUGUUAUUGUUCUUAAUAUGAGACAAUUCAGUAGAAGUGUUGGAAUAAAUAUCUUAUUUAAUGUCAUAAUUACUUUGGUAAUUAAUGGAAUUAAAUGAUAUUUUUGAAUCUACAUGUUGAGUAGAUUAAAUUGGUAUAUUUACUUAUUUAAAUCUAUAAAGAAUUGAAUGAGUAAUUAAUGCCAAAAAUGUGGCGACGGUUUAGGACUGAAGAGACACGAUGGUUCGGACAUAUUUAUCCAAACAGUGCGCGUGGCAGCGGUUAAGGACCGAAGAGACACGAUGGUUCGAACCACAUGUUUACCCAAACAAUACACCUCUUCCGACAGAAGAGAACAUCUCUUCAAACAAAGAAGGGUGCACCUCUUCGGAUUGGAAAGUCACGUCCGUUCAAGGAAACCCCUGGAACACUAUAAAUAGGGCCCUCCAUAAUGAGAUUAAAUACACCAACGAAUUCAGAUAAUCAAUUUGUCAUAUUAGUUUAGUUUACAUACUCAGUCCCGAGUAUCAAGCUGUUCGACCGGAUAGCGAUCUCCUAGUGCUAAGGACUCGUCUAUCAUCCCAAAACCGUUGUAUCUUGGGGGCAAUUACUGUAGAUCCGCAAGCACAAGAGCGGAAGUAAUUUUGCCUUACGAAGAGAGAAUUUAUUCUCGCCUCGGUUCUGCAUCUUUUCCAUUUAUCGUCAUUCUAUUUUCUACACUACCAAAUAACAAGAAGAACAGUUAAAAACCAUAAAUUUGAGAUGUAUAUGGUAGUAUGAUACAUGAGAUAAAGAUAUGAGCCAUCAUCUAUUUUUAUCUCUUUGGGUAUUCUUACACACACAAAGUUGUUUAACUAGUUAAAAACCAAAAUGGAGAAUUGAGAGCCCUGAACAACAUUUGACUCACGUUGGCACAUUGAAACAUUUUUUAUCCUCUUGCUUGCAAACAAACAUGCCCAAUAUGGAUUACUCCAAGUCAGCUCGCUUCUUGGAGCUGUAAUGCAUCCUCAAGUCUUUCCACUAUAUCUGUCAUUGAUGGCCGGUCUCUUCCAUAAUCCAGUAGACAUCUUCCAGCAGUUUCCAAGAAUAUAUUUAGGCUAUCUCGUGGUGUUCUCCCAACUAGAAAGGGGUCAAUACAACCAGAAAAGUGUUGAGAAUAAGAAGUCAGUAAAAGCAGCAAACAAUAAAAGUUAGUCAAAAGAUAAAGUUAGUCAAAAGAUAACCAAGGAUCCCUUAAUCAUAGGGAUCCUUAUGACUUUGUAUCAGCAAUAUUGAAUAUCAUCUCCCAUCAAACACUAUAAAUGGGAGAAGUGUAUCAGUAGGAAAUAACAAGCAAUACAAUAACAAUCAUUUGCUUCUCUUUAUCUUUCUCUAUGCAUUAUGAUAAUACCAUGUUUUAACAUGGUAUCAGAGCAAGUUCAAUCCUAGGAACUCAGAAACAAAUCAUCAUCGUUCAUAAUCCCAAACCAAAACCUUUCUUAGCCAAUUCACCAAAUCAAGGCAGCCUCUGUUCUUCAUUUCCUGAAAAAAAAAAAAAUGCCAGGAGAGAUUGAAACCAUAAACCAAACAGAUUCAAAUAACCCAAAUCCAAACAGAAUCCACAGAAUGGGUCGAAGAGACCCAAAUCCAAUCAACUGCAAUGAAGAAGGGAUUAAUAAGCACCGAAAAUUAAUCGGAAAUUGCCGAUUAUUUCAGUUCCUCCCUGGAUUAGAUGGCAGAUAUGAUAAACUUUGUCGGGACAUUCUCAAGAAAGUUCCCGUUACCUCAGUCGAGUCGGCGUUCUCAAAAGUGAAAAGGGAGGCCGCCCGACUACAAAACUUGCAGCCGGCAACCAAUCGCUCCGACAUCGACGCCUCAUCAUCGGGAGGGGUCGGAGCCGGACUCGCCGCCACCCACCGCCCUACUCAGCGGCCUGAGGUCCAACCGCCACACACCGCCGCCGGUCCAGGCAACACACCGGAGUGGUGGGAAAACAAUCACAAAAUUGCCAAAGGGAAGAAAGC